RNAcentral lists this long non-coding RNA (6839 nucleotides) under Homo sapiens (human). RNAcentral's name for it is "HSALNT0130285". The record is from RNAcentral. Lineage: Eukaryota; Metazoa; Chordata; Mammalia; Primates; Hominidae.
CACCCCUUGUGGGAGGGAGCACACAGUUGAGUAGAUGCAGGAGCUGGAACCAGCGCUUUUGGGCUCUGGCAGGAGCAUACUCCAUGUGGGCCCUGUGGCAGCAUCUAGGUGGGGGUGCCUGUGGCCCCCGAUCCCCUAGAGGGCAUGUUACAGUGCUCUUUUAGCUCUGUCAUCCACGGGCGGCUUAAAUGUUAACUGGUCAGUGGGCCCUCUGCCUUUUUGCAUGAAGCAGCUGCUCUUUGCCAGCGAGGGCAAAGGAUCAGCAUGACACCCUUUUGUAUCCACACUUGCGGCUCCUGAAUGGUAGUGCGGCAUCCAGGAAAAAUAAGGUCUCACUAACGAAUUGAAGGAUGGUAAAUGCAGGGGAUUAUUACUAUUUUUUAUUUUAUUUUUUAUUUUAUUUUUUUUGCUGAUGAAAGUGGCUCUCAGUGGGAAGAGGAGCUGAAAAGGGGGUGAGGUGGGGCAGUGACGAUGGAAGAAAAAGGCAAGACUUCACUUUGGGAGGCUGAGGCGGGCAGAUCACGAGGUCAGGAGAUCGAGACCAUCCUGGCUAACACAGUGAAACCCCAUCUCUACUAAAAAUACAAAAAAUUAGCUAGGCGUGGUGGCAGACACCUGGAGUCCCAGCGACUCAGGAGGCUGAAGCAGGAGAAUGGCGUGAACCCGGGAGGCGGAGCUUGCAGUGAGCCAGGCUCGCGCCACUACACUCCAGCCUGGGCGACAGAGCAAGACUCCAUUUCAAAAAAAAAAGGCACCACUUGAUGAGGAUUUCUAGAGUAAAAUAUAUUUUUAAACAUGGGGGCUAGAAACUGGAACAGCACUUUAUAAUAUUAAUAAAUGUUGAGCAUACAAGACGUAGAGAGGUUUGGUUAAGAGGCUGUGAGAACAUAUCUGUUCAUGCUAAAUAUGUAAUUCUGAAAGUAUUUUAUUACUUUGAACCUCAAUUUUUCAAGGUAAAGUAGCCAUACAUAUUCAUCUCAAAGGAUUAUUAAACUUAUGGAAAAAGUAAAUCAGAAAAUGCAUGUAAAGUAAUCAAGAAUAGUUUAAGUGGAAGCCAAUUAAGUGGAAGGUAUUGAAUAAAUGGCAGUUGUUACUAGUAUAAUUAUUUCUUGUUUAUAUUGUUUUAUUAGAGUGAACUUAGAAACAAAUAUACUUCAUGAAAAUGAAAAUAAAUAUCAGAAUCAUGGAGCGGAAAUAUGUACAUGUCCACCUGACAGUCAUUAUUAUAAUAUAAUAGUUGAAAAGACAAAACCAGACCAAUAGUUUAUAGAAUUCUCAUAGAAUUUUGUUCCUUGUUUUGUUGAAAGUAAAUUGAGUUUUAUAAAAUUUGAACUUGCUGAGUGAAACAAAUAAACACUAGAACCUAUUAGCUAUCAGCAGCAGGCGUCUACAGAAACAUUAGAACCUCUGGAUAUGUGCCUAUGCCUGAAUGAUUUACAUUUUAGCCUUCAAAGCAUUCUCUCAGUAGCAGAGCAGGCUAGCUUUAAGCCAAAAUGUGAAAUAUGCGAAGUUUUUCUUCAGAUGCUGCCUUUUCAAAUCCUUUGCAGUGAAUGGGGGAGACAGAUUAUAGAAUAUGACCUGAAAAAUCCCUAAGGGUUUCUAAGCAUCAGAUAUAGCAUAUUCUGUUAUCUCCAUCUAUUUUCAUAGAAGUGUAAUCAAGUAAAAUGAAUAUUUGAUAUUGAUUUUAAAGAGAAAAAGGAAAUCACAAAAGGGAAACGUGACAUUAGGGAAAUAGAGGGCAUCUGACAAGAGACUUGACUUUGGUAGGGAUGGUUGAAAGUGGUUAUUGGUACAUAAAACACAAGUUAUUUGUAGCAGUCACUGACAGAACUAUAUCCUUUGUCGAUGACAGGCUUUAUAAGUCAUUGCUGGAACCUGAGAUUCUGGCAAACUCAAAACCUGUGUUCCCAAAAUAUGCGAGACACAAUAUAUAUUAUUAUUUCCUUUCCAUGACUGGGCAUACAGAUAAAUGAAUCUCUCCUUCCAUUCCUAAAAGGAAAAAUGAUCAUCACCAUCAUCACCACCAUCAUUAUAAUCAUAGCCAUAAUCACUUACACAUAGUCAUGAGACAACUUACAUUGACCCAAGUCCUCUCCUAGUUGCUUUCUAAUUAUUAACUCAUUUACUUUACCAGCAACCCCUUGAGGUAGGCACCAUUGCUCUCCCCAUUUUACUAAUGAGGAACCUAAGGUACAGAGAAGUCAUAGAACCUUCCUAAAGUCAUACAGGGAAUUCUUUCAUUAGGCUAGCUAUCAUUUCCAUGGGCCCAAAGAGUCUGAUGACUAUUUCAAUUAUCCAGGGCAGAUAAUCUUUGUAUCUGUUGGAAAGACAGUACUGCAGUGUGGUUAAAUAAGGUUGCCAAAUCAAAUCUCUUACUAACUGCAGGGGAAAAUGGGUCUCACUCUCACUAACUCUAUGACUUUGAAACACGUAUGUAACCCACUUGAAUUUGAAUGUCUCCAUCUAUAAAAUGAAGACAAAGGUGAAAAUGGAGGUGUGUUAGGUCAUAGUCUGUAAUCCUUGUGGCAUGUCUCUAUGUAUACCUAAGUGAAAAUUCUCUAAGUUCUCAAGUACAAAUGGAGACAGUGGGAGAUGGCCCCAGUGUCCUCAUAUCAAGAUUUUCUAGACCCAGUGACCAUGCAUGAGGCCUCCUUGAUGCCAUAACUCUCUGAAUAGCUAAACUGUUUUCGUGGAUGGGCUUUAAAAGUUGUUGCGGAGUGCUGAUAUAGCUCAAGUAUAACAGCAGUGAGCCUACAGUUCCAUGAUUUUCAAACUCACGGGUAUCUCACUCUGUUGUAUAACCUGCUAAGAUCACCAAGAUUCAGAUGCAAUUCUUUGAGUCAUAAGGUAGGCAAUGGGGAAACUUUUCCACUCACUGUUUUUAUUACCUGGUUUAUAACUUUAAUUUGUUUACUUGAAGACCUCCAAGAAUCCAAAGGUAAAGUGACUUUGAGUGAAGGUUAUAGUCAUUUUCACCCACACUUGAAUUUGAAACACCUGUGUGCUCUAACCCAGCUCAGUAUACCAAGCAGAUAACAAUGACUCUAUGUACUAGUGCAUAUCUAAUAAAUGUCUAUAAUAUUUCAGGAGAUAAGUGGCCUUAAAGGACUUCUCUCAUUGUAGAUUCUCAGCAAUUGCCUAAUUAACAUAAAAUCAGUGUGCCCUUCCUUAGUAGGUGAGUUACCACACGUAAUAAGCCAUGUUUUUUACUUUGUUUUAACAAAUCAAGCCUUUGCUUCUCUUGGUUUGAAACUUCACUCUAAAAUUAUUAGGGCCUCUAACUCCUGUAACUCCCACAGUACCCUAAUUGUCCACUAUAAAUGACUGCUGUCAUACCAUGAAAUCCAAUUGGGUAUAUCUUUUUCCCUCCUGCAAAAUAUAUUUAUUUAUUUAUUUAUUUGCUUAUUUUUAUUUUAUUUGCUUGCUGGACUUGUGCUAAUUGAGACAGAUGGUGUUAUGAUUUUUUAUAUUUUAUCUAUAAAAUGAGAAAUUCAAUUGACUGCCACAUUUAAAAACUUAGUUACUUAAUCAUUUUCCAUUUUUCCAUAAACUCCCUGAAAUUAGUAUAUAUUUAAGUAGAAAGAAUUGAGAAACAGAGUUAAAUUAUUUGCAAGACUAUAGAGUAAAUUAAAGAAACAAUUCACCAUCAAGGUGAGGUAAGCUAAAUCACCUCUAAUACAUUUAGAUUCAUUUUUCCAUGAUGUCAUUAGAUUGUGAUUCUAAUAAUCAACUAACAUUAUUCUAUUAAUGGAUUUAUUGCAUUUGGCAAUAUUUUCACUAAUAUUUUGGAAUAUUUAAAUCUAUGUGGUGGACUGCACUAAUCCUAUUUGCCCACUUCCCUAGGUUAUUAUUUCUGGUCCUCAAUUCAAUCAUAAUACUCUAAGCUAGGUUAAAGCCUGAUAUUAUUUAUUAUUUGUUUUAAUAAAAUUAACACUCAGUGCAUGCUUCUAACCUAUCAGCAAUCUGGUGUGUAAUGUUUAUUCAUUCUAUCUUCUUUAAUAUCUGCAGAUAGUUUCUGUAUCUUAACAGUAAUAUAAAAACAAACAGUGUGUGUUUUUCCCUUGUAGAAUGACUCAUUGUAUGGGGAGAAAUGGUGUCCCACUGACUAAACAUUUUUACAUAGUCAGUUACAAAAUAUCUUACAUGUAGAGUUGUAAGGUCAUUAAUGAAUUCAUUCUUUUGUCAUUAUUUGAGGCAUAUUUUGUAUCAGAUACUCUACUAAGCAUUGACUUCAAGGAGGUUAAUGUCACACUGUUUAAUGAUUGUAUUUUUCACCCUCCUAUGUCACUAGGUUUAGUCAUUCUAGUAAAACUUUAUAAAUUCCUUCUAUAGUUAACAAUUUUCUCUUUGCUCUGAAUCAUCUCUUCGGGUGUUCUAUAAAUAGGACAGUGGCAUUGCUCAAAUGGAAGAUUCUGACAAGAGAACUUCCGCCAGCAGGAAACCAGAGGGUCCCCAAGGGAAGUCAUCGCUGAGAAAUCUCAGAAGAUUUCCUCUUUCUGAACUUGUGAAGAUUCAUCUUGCUUUCCUUGAUUGUCCUUACAAGGCAUGAAAGAGAUAAUUGCUUUAUCCUCUCUCUGUAGCAUAUACUCUAUGUAUCAGGGGCAAUGAAUAACUAUUUCAUAAGGAAGUCUCUCUGAUGAAACCCCAAGAGUACAUAUGGGUCAGUAAGAAAAUGAAGUGUAGCAAAUUACCUCUGUCUUUGGAACAAUUUGUUUCUUGCCUUACAGUUACUUUUGAAAUAGAAGUUAUACGUCUGUGAAAAAUAUUCACAAUAUGUGUCAUAUGAGAUGUAUACAUAGAUCAUUUCUCAUGGUUGAUAUUGUCUAUAAUUGGUUCUGGUUCUGACAAAUUCUAUAUAAUGCAUGAUCGAUACCUUAUAUAAAAACCAAUGCAAUAAACUUAGAAAGAAAUCAAAUAAGGUGAAAGAAAAAUACCAUAAUGUAUGCCAUUUAAUAUAAAUAUAAAUUAAGAAAAUGGCUACUUAAUAUUUCUAAAUGUAAUCAUAAAAGUUACAAGACACAAAAGAUACUCUUUAGCAAAACAUCUUAUAAUAUUACUUAUAUUUGCUCUACUAUUGUAGACUCGCUUUUAAGAUUUUCCAUUAUCUGGUCCUAAACUUUCUGUUGAGAUAUUUGAUGUGGCUCAAAGAAUACCAUACUAAAUCUUAUAAUUCAGUUCCCAUUUUUUGCACUGAUACUAAAAUCUGUGUCACUUUGGUUAAGUUCUUGACACUUCUUCACUUCAAAUAUCUUAUAUAUAAUGUGACUGAUCUAUGUGACCUCUGAGGUUACUUUUCACUUUAACAUGAUGACUUUUGUAUUUAUUUUUACUUCUCAAUACACUCUCAAAUGUAUGUGACACAUUCUGGCCUCAAACCCUUGCAUAAGCCUAUUAGUCUGCCACUAUAUUGUAGGCUCCAAGAGAAUAGAGACGGUAAACAUUUUGUUUAUCGAUAACUCCCAACAACAUGUUCUAAUAUAUUUAUUAUGUAAAAUGCCUUCUAUCUGGCUAUUCAUUUCCACCUUUCUGCUUCCUUUUCAUUCAUUCACUCGUUCUUCAUAUAUUAAUUCAUUCACCUGCUUAUCUUUGCAUUCUUUAAAUUCUCUCUGCAUUCAAGGUCAACUGAUCUUCAGCUUUUCCAUUAAGCUCUACUGAUCAUUCCAGCCAUAACUGAUCUUUGUCUGUUUAAACUCCUACCACAUACACAGUGGUGAUCACAUUAUUAUGGACCUAAGAAUAGAAUCUUUGUAGACUUAUUAAUAUAUUGCUAUACUGCUCUUCAAUGUUUCUGAUUUUCCCAAUGACUCUGAAUUUAUUAAAGGCAGACAUAUUAUAACACGAGUCUUCUAAAAGUUAUCCAUGACUUGUAAUACAAUCUAGACAAAGAAUUUCAAAACUGUAAUUUAGCAUAUUCUCUCUCACUAGCUAAUACAUGUUUAAACACAUAUAUACACACAAUUCUUGAUGGUCCAUCAGUAUCCAGUAAUUUAUUCUGGUAAAAAUGGGAACAGUAAAGGGGACUAAGUGAUAUAAGUGAUAUACACGCCAGGAAAUGGCCACUGAACUUUUCCUCUAAUUUACUGGAAUAAUUGUAAAUCCAUAAUUAUCUGAAGUACGAGUAUAACACUGCAUUUCUUAAUUUUGCCCAUGAUAUAAAAAGACUCUUUCCUUCCCUUGUCUUUGCCACCAUUUUUUUUUUUUUUCUGUGAGAAAAGCCAAGUGGUCUGAAGUUAUGCUGGUGCACAAGGCAUUUUAAAAUAGCCUUCAUUUACGAGCAAUCAUCUAUGAAGGACUAACAUUUAAGGAGUCUUGCUGUGUCCUUUUUUGAGAUUACAGCUUCCAUACAAGUGACAAAUAUAUUUAGAUGGAACAUAAAGUGUUCUCUGCACAGUUUUCGAUUUGUAUAGUUAGCAUCCAUACCUUUUAGGAUAAAAUGCUCAAAUGAGAAAUGUUGAAGAAUACUAACUUCUAACAAAUAACUAAAAUAGAUGUUAUCCCAGAAGGGUAACAGCAGGCUGUAUUUCCAGGGAAUACAUUUGAGCAAGUAAUUUAUAUUUCCUUUCUAAGGAAAUAUGGUAAAUAAGUUUGUUUGUACUUUUCUUUUAUUCCCUCAAAAAUUUCAGAGAAUCAGAGAUUGAAAUGACAGAGAGAAUUCUAGUAGUUUAUCUUAUGUCUACUCCUUCUAGGUGAAUAUUUCGUGUGGGGAAAACUCUAAAAAAUAAAAGGUAACACUUCAGUUGUUCUCCAUUUUAUAUAUUUCUUGUGGCCAAAUCCCUAUUGAUCUAGUAGAUCUGUGAUUAAAAGAACAUUGUAUAGAUGUUUCCUGAUUAAGAUGACAA